RNAcentral lists this long non-coding RNA (603 nucleotides) under Melopsittacus undulatus (budgerigar). Its description in RNAcentral is "lncRNA (ENSMUNG00000009964.2)". Lineage: Eukaryota; Metazoa; Chordata; Aves; Psittaciformes; Psittaculidae. The record is from RNAcentral.
CAGAACUUGGCUUGUCACCAUCACUGUUUUCUCUCAAACAGUGUUUCAAAAGCAUUCUGACAGUAAACCCAUUUGGUGAUUGUUCUGAGCACAGGAAGAAUUCUUGCCAGACUUCUGAUAUACAGAUAAACUGCUGUAUGACUUACUGGAUGGACAGUGGACUGAGAAUCAAGAGGUAUGUGUUCUGCUCUUUGCUGCUGACUCCUGGGACACUCUGUAUCUUCAUAUCCCCAUAAGGCUGGUGCCCCCCCCCCAACCUCCAGGAUCAGCUGGUAGCAGGUCCAGAGAUUAAUUUGGCUAAGGAGGUGUUCCUCUGUGAGAGCCAACACAAGAUGUGCUUCUCUGAAGUGGACAGCAUGCAGAAGAGCUGGCACUGUACAUCCCAUGACAGCAGCAACCUCUGUAGGCAGUUGUGUUCCCCAGAACCUUUGGCUCUUCAUCCAGCUGCCUGUUGAAGUCAUCUGCAUGCAAGUUACGUUUCCUUAUCCUGUUGGGCCACAUUCAGCAAUGACUUCACCUGGAAGUAAGGAGUUAGAACAGUAAGAUUCCCAAAAGAAGCCUUCUCUGUUGUAAUGGUCGCUGGAAGCCCUGAGGUGAUCAUUU